RNAcentral lists this ribosomal RNA (301 nucleotides) under uncultured bacterium. Its description in RNAcentral is "partial 16S ribosomal RNA". It matches the Rfam family "Bacterial small subunit ribosomal RNA", at positions 509 to 807 of the family's 1533-position model. The record is from RNAcentral.
CAGCCGCCGCGGUAAUACGUAGGGUGCGAGCGUUGUCCGGAUUUAUUGGGCGUAAAGAGCUCGUAGGCGGCUUGUCGCGUCGGAUGUGAAAGCCCGGGGCUUAACUCCGGGUCUGCAUUCGAUACGGGCAGGCUAGAGUGUGGUAGGGGAGAUCGGAAUUCCUGGUGUAGCGGUGAAAUGCGCAGAUAUCAGGAGGAACACCGGUGGCGAAGGCGGAUCUCUGGGCCAUUACUGACGCUGAGGAGCGAAAGCGUGGGGAGCGAACAGGAUUAGAUACCCGCGUAGUCCCUGUCUCUUAUAC